UUACCUACGGGAGGCAGCAGUGGGGAAUAUUGCACAAUGGGGGAGACCCUGAUGCAGCGACGCCGCGUGAGUGAAGAAGGAUUUCGGAAUGUAAAGCUCUGUCAGCAGGGAAGAAAAUGACGGUACCUGACCAAGAAGCCCCGGCUAACUACGUUCCAGCAGCCGCGGGAAUACGUAGGGGGCAAGCGUUAUCCGGAUUUACUGGGUGUAAAGGGAGCGUAGACGGAAGGGCAAGUCUGGA
RNAcentral lists this ribosomal RNA (241 nucleotides) under uncultured bacterium. RNAcentral's name for it is "partial 16S ribosomal RNA". It matches the Rfam family "Bacterial small subunit ribosomal RNA", at positions 335 to 593 of the family's 1533-position model. The record is from RNAcentral.